GAAGAAUUCAAGCAAAGGGAUCAGGAAGAGGAUUGCUACUAAGAGGCAGAGAAACCAAUGAAGCCUUUUGCCAUCUCACACUGGAAAGACAAAAAGUCAUAGAGGCUUGAUUUUUAUAAGGAAAGAGAAGUGAGAAACUGACCUCGAUACUUUGUUGGACUUGCCUAAAGACAUUUGCUGAAUUCUCGGGCUGUGCUGGGAUGGAGAUUAGAGGCCAAAUAAAAACCUCUGGAGCUCCCAGGCCUCUACAGUUUGC
RNAcentral lists this long non-coding RNA (256 nucleotides) under Homo sapiens (human). RNAcentral describes it as "non-protein coding GMDS-DT:111". Lineage: Eukaryota; Metazoa; Chordata; Mammalia; Primates; Hominidae. The record is from RNAcentral.